GCACAAGCAGCGGAGCGUGUGGUUUAAUUCGUUGCUACACGAAGAACCUUACCUGGGUUUGACAUAGCAGUGGUAGGGAAGCGAAAGCAGACCGACCUUCGGGGAGCUGUUACAGGUGUUGCAUGGCUGUCGUCAGCUCGUGUCGUGAGAUGUUCGGUUAAGUCCGCUAACGAGCGCAACCCGCGUUUGUGUGUUACAAGUGUCACACAAUACCGCCGGUAUUAAGUCGGAGGAAGGUGCGGAUGACGUCAAGUCAGCAUGACCUUUAUAUCCAGGGCUACACACACGCUACAAUGGUCAGCACAAUGGGUUGCCAAGUCGUGAGACGGAGCCAAUCCUCCAAAGCUGGCCUCAGUUCAGAUUGUAGGCUGCAACCCGCCUGCAUGAAGUUGGAGUUGCUAGUAACCGCAGGUCAGCUAUACUGCGGUGAAUACGUUCCCGGGGAUU
Molecule: ribosomal RNA, 447 nt
Filed under: uncultured Anaerolineaceae bacterium
Lineage: Bacteria; Bacillati; Chloroflexota; Anaerolineae; Anaerolineales; Anaerolineaceae
Description: bacterial SSU rRNA
Rfam family: Bacterial small subunit ribosomal RNA
Source: RNAcentral